This is an RNA transcript of Cydia strobilella, 2198 nucleotides long. It is a transcript of the gene named G-protein coupled receptor Mth2-like, with no coding region annotated. The record is from RefSeq and is a predicted model, not a curated record. The transcript has 9 exons. NCBI's taxonomy places the organism in Eukaryota, Metazoa, Arthropoda, Insecta, Lepidoptera, Tortricidae.
GACGCCGACCGGCCUUCUUCCAGUGCGAUGCGAAAAGCGCGCGUCAUCGGUACCGCAAAUACUUUUUAAAACUUUUUUUUAAGAAUCUACAUAAAUAUACCGCGAGUGAAAAAGUUUCUAAACUUUUACUAAAAUGCUUACGCUCCUGCUGAUCGUCUUUUUUUUUAACGCGAUAACUGCACUCAAUUGCUCGGAGAAAGACAGAUACAAUUUGACCGGAUCGGUUGAGCGGGACGGUGUGUAUUCCCUUAACGGACUGCAGUUUUCCAAUCAUUAUGUGUUUAAUGAAGUAGUUGAUGGUGUUAAUUAUACUUUCGGCUGCGAUUGUAAAAGUGAACCGUGUUAUGUCAAGUGUUGUCCUUCUGGUUAUGUAAAGAAGUUUGGUGUUCCUGAAUGCAAACCGGCAAAGGGGACAUUGAAAGAACGUGUCCAAAAUAAUGAACUUACUCUCAAUUAUAUGGACACUUACAAGAAACAGUUGGACGUUAAAGAAAUGAAGUUGGUGUAUGGGAUUGACUGUGCUUUUUAUUUAGAGGAUUUGAAGUGGUAUGUUCAGGAGGACGGAAGGCUGUUUAUCCAUGUGCCUGGCAGUGUGAAUCCCUGGCAGAAGAGGGAACCCGGCGAGUACUGCAUAGACAGCUUCAUACAAGAACAUGCAGAUGGAUCGACUAGUACCAAGCUGGACGCGCUGGUGUGCUUCACAGAGGAGGAAGAUGACAGUUCGGGUUACAUCGUCAGUUCCACUUGUAUGCUGAUCUCAUCAGCGUUCUUCAUCGUGACCAUAGCGGUGUACGCGUUGCUUCCUGAGCUGCAGAAUCUGCACGGGCGGGUGCUGAUGGUGUACCUAGCCUGCAUGUGCGUGGGCUUCACUUUCAUGGCUGCCAUGCAGAUUAUGAUCACCGUCAAUAAUACCACGCUUACGAUCUGCAUGGGACUAACAUUCGUGAUCUACUUUGCUCUACUUUCUGCCUUUUUCUGGCUCAACGUCAUGUGUUUCGAUAUUUGGUGGACUUUUAGUGGCAAACGCGGUCUGUCUUUCGAGAAGCUGUCAAUGCACGCGCGUUUCUGUGCGUACGCAGCGUACGCCUUCGGGUUCCCGACCGGCUUGACGAUAAUCCUAGCGGCGCUUGAGUUCUCCGGGCUACCCUCGCACCCAGCCAUGCCCAUGUUGAGACAACAGGGAUGCUUCCUUCACGGCACAAGUAGAUUGCUUUACCUGUACGGCCCCAUAAUGAUCCUUUGCUUGGCGAACAUCGUGUUUUUCAUACUGACUGCGUGGAAGAUCACUCAGAUAAAACAACAGACGCAGCAGACCCUCAAGUCCAAGGACAGUGCUACUACGGACCACCACCGGAAUGACAGGCAAAGGCUACUUCUCUACGUAAAACUUUUCACCAUCAUGGGCGUCAGCUGGAUCCUGGAGGUCAUCAGCGGCGAAUACGCACAGACCAACAUUGUGUUUCGCAUCAUCGACGCCUACAACGUCAUGAUCGGCGUCUUUAUCUUCAUCAUCUUCGUCUGCAAGCGCAAGAUCUUCCGCCUCAUGAAGAAGAGGUUCAAUGAAACAUUUCGCAUCUCACACAGCGAUAGUGGAGACGGGCCGAUAGGCCACAGGGACGUGAGGAAUUGGAAGGAGUAUCAGCAGCAAAGAGGCAGUCUUGAUACAGUACGGACCAUCUGUUACGACUCUGAUAACAGUAGAACUAUUAAAACAUCCAAUAUUUAAAUAGCUUGAUAAACCAAACCGAUCAAAUUCACCUCUAUAUGACUAAAUGUGGCCAAAUGAAAAACGGAUAUCAAACAUAAGAAAUGCCCAAUGAAAUGACAAAAUAUUAAAAUGCUCUAAAAUACAAAAUCUAGUCAAAAGUAAGUGGUAACACGAAAAUUAUACUUGAAAGCGGUUCCCGGGCUACAAAUAAAUGGCUAAGGGUGAGACCGGGACGAACGCUACGAUAAAAAAUAAAGAGUCAAAUUAUAAAUCAGUUUAUUUAAGAAUAGUUCCUCUGUAUCGGAGUAAUGACUGCCUGUACUGUCAAAAAAUGGACAAAGUAAAGGUUAAAGGUACAACCAGAUGCGCGGGAAACCCAUGUCCCGCACACAGACGGAAACCACCUCGACACGCACGCUGUCCACCCGGGAUGAUAUCCGCAUGAACUCUCUCAAGAAUAACCAGCAAGCUUGAGUUUUCUGAACGGUCU